CAAAUAGUAGUUUUAAAAAUAGUAGUUUUGGGUACUACAGUAGAGUGAAAUAUCUUCUUUUUGA
Molecule: transfer RNA, 64 nt
Filed under: Gammarus pisinnus
Lineage: Eukaryota; Metazoa; Arthropoda; Malacostraca; Amphipoda; Gammaridae
Description: tRNA-Pro
Source: RNAcentral